Molecule: long non-coding RNA, 584 nt
Organism: Nematostella vectensis (starlet sea anemone)
Lineage: Eukaryota; Metazoa; Cnidaria; Anthozoa; Actiniaria; Edwardsiidae
Exons: 2
Source: RefSeq, a predicted model, not a curated record
UAAUGAACGGAGCAUGCGCUCUGGAUCUCCCGUCCACGAUCGUGGACGGCGGUUUGAUCAAACGAGCUUGCGACCCAUGGCAGAGGUAUCUUUUCCACGCGAACGCCAGCCGAGCGAAGUACAGAGAAAAGAGGCCUCUGCUAGCAGGGAAGUUCACACGGCUCAGAGGUUCCAUCUCGUUCGAAAAAGCCCGCGAAAAAUCUUAAAUUCCAUAUAAGUGUAUGCUGUCAGUUGAAUCUAACUCACUUCCGGUAAAAAAAACUUCCGGUAAACUUUUGGAGCAUGGUGAAAGAUCGUCAGCUGAAAAGGUCAGUAUAGAUCACAACACUCACAUGGACACCAGCGGAAUUAUCGUUUAUUCCUUUUUUUUUUUCUACAAAAAUUUAUUUGUACGCGAGGGACCGGCCCUUUCAGCCGUGUGAAGAAGUUUGAGUUCACAAGGUUCGUGAACUUCACAACACUCAAAAGGACGUAAGUAAAUAAGUGAAAAAUUCAGUUGUUUUCAGUAUGCUUUGGGGUUGUUUUGUGCAGGUUUUUGCUGCUUUGGUGGAACACAGCCGUAGAUAUCAGUUAUAAAUGCCAAA